Molecule: ribosomal RNA, 254 nt
Filed under: uncultured bacterium
Lineage: Bacteria
Description: partial 16S ribosomal RNA
Rfam family: Bacterial small subunit ribosomal RNA
Source: RNAcentral
UACGUAGGGCGCAAGCGUUAUCCGGAAUUAUUGGGCGUAAAGGGCUCGUAGGCGGCCAACUAAGUCGGAUGUGAAAUCCCCAGGCUUAACCUGGGAACUGCAUCCGAUACUGGAUGGCUUGAAUCCGGGAGAGGGAUGCAGAAUUCCAGGUGUAGCGGUGAAAUGCGUAGAUAUCUGGAGGAAUACCGGUGGCGAAGGCGGCAUCCUGGACCGGCAUUGACGCUGAGUGAGCGAAAGCCAGGGGAGCAAACGGG